GAUGAAGAACGCAGCGAAAUGCGAUACGUAAUGUGAAUUGCAGAAUUCAGUGAAUCAUCGAGUCUUUGAACGCACAUUGCGCCCCCUGGUAUUCCGGGGGGCAUGCCUGUCCGAGCGUCAUUGCUGCCCUCAAGCACGGCUUGUGUGUUGGGCCUCCGUCCUCCUCCCGGGGGACGGGCCCGAAAGGCAGCGGCGGCACCGCGUCCGGUCCUCGAGCGUAUGGGGCUUCGUCACCCGCUCUUGUAGGCCCGGCCGGCGCUUGCCGACACAUCAAUCUUUUUUCCAGGUUGACCUCGGAUCAGGUAGGGAUACCCGCUGAACUUAAGCAUAUCAAUGCGGAGGA
Molecule: unclassified non-coding RNA, 343 nt
Filed under: soil metagenome
Description: partial contains 5.8S ribosomal RNA, internal transcribed spacer 2, and large subunit ribosomal RNA
Rfam family: 5.8S ribosomal RNA (bases 1-120)
Source: RNAcentral